Molecule: ribosomal RNA, 407 nt
Filed under: uncultured bacterium
Lineage: Bacteria
Description: partial 16S ribosomal RNA
Rfam family: Bacterial small subunit ribosomal RNA
Source: RNAcentral
AUUGAACGCUGGCGGCAGGCUUAACACAUGCAAGUCGAGCGGAGCGGCGGACGGGUGAGUAAUGCCUAGGAAUCUGCCUGGUAGUGGGGGACAACGUCCGGAAACGGGCGCUAAUACCGCCUACAAUCCGAUGAGCCUAGGUCGGUUUAGCGAGUUGGUGGGGUAAUGGCCUACCAGGGCGACGAUCCGUAACUGGUCUGAGAGGAUGAUCAGUCACACUGGAACAGGGACACGGUCCAGCCGCCUACGGUAGGCAGCGGUGGGGAAGAUGGGAAAAUGGGAGAAAGCGUGAACCAGCCAUGCCGCGUGUGGGAAGAGGGUCUGCAGAUUGUAAAGCACUUUAAGUUGGGAGGCGUUACCAACAGAAUAAGCACCGGCUAACUUCGUGCCAGCAGCCGCGGUAAUAC